This 6806-nucleotide long non-coding RNA is filed under the name Marmota monax (woodchuck). The record is from RNAcentral. Lineage: Eukaryota; Metazoa; Chordata; Mammalia; Rodentia; Sciuridae.
AUCCCCAAAAGGACCAGAUGAGACCCAGAAAUUGGCCCAAGGUGAGAAGUCUUGUGACUUUUUUUUUUUAGUUGUAAAUGAACAGAGCACCUUUCUUUCUUCCUUUCUCUCUCUCUCUCUCUCUCUCUCUCUCUCUCUUUCUCUCUCUCUCUCUCUCUCUCUCUUUUUCUUUUCUUUUUUCUUUCUUUCUCCAGGAAUUGAACUCAGGAGCACUUGACCACUGAGCCAUACCCCCAGCUCCAUUUUGUAAUUUAUUUAGAGACAGGGUGUCACUGAGUUGUUUAGCACCUCGCUUUUGCUGAGGCUGGCUUUGAACACAUGAUCCUCCUGCCUCAGCCUCCUGAGCCACUGGAAUUACAGGUGUGUGCCACCGAGCCCGGCUACCUUUAUUUAUUUAUUUAUUUAUUUAUUUAUUUAUUUAUGUGUGGUGCUGAAGUUUGAGCUCAAUGCAUCACACGUGUUAGGCAAGCACUCUACCACUGAGCCACAGUGCAGCACAUCUUCUGACUUCUUCCUCUUUUUUUUUUUUGUUGUAGAUAAACAAGUUCCUUCCUUCCUCCCUCCCUCCCUCCCUCCUUCCCUUCCUCCCUCCCUUCCUUCCUUCCUUCCUUCCUUCCUUCCUUCCUUCCUUCCUUCCUUCCACGGGGGAUUGAACUCAGGGGCACUCAACCACUCACCGUAUCCCCAGCCCUAUUUUGUAUUUUAUUUGAGAUAGAGUCUCCCUGAGUUGCUUAGUGCCUGGCUAAAUUGCUGAGGCUGGCUUUCAACUAGUGAUCCUCCUACCUCUGCCUCCGGAGCUGCUGGGAUUACAGGUGUGUGCUACCACAUCCAGCCUGUCUUCCGACUUCUUAAUUGUGGGUUUGCAGCAAGAAAUAUUUCAAUCUUGUAGAGUGGAGGCUGAGGGUGACUUUUUUUCUUUGUGGUACUGAGGAUUGAACCCAGGUUCUUGUGCAUGCUAGGCAAGGGCUCUACCCCUGAGCUACAUCCUGUUUUUGUUUUUUAUUUUGAGAUGGGGUCUUGAUAAAGUGCCCAGGCUUGUCUUAAACUUGUGAUCCUCCUUCCUUAGCCUCCUGAGUGGCCACCAUGCUCAGCUCUGGGAGUGACUUUUAAGCUAAUGAUCAGAACUGAAGAGUAAAUCUACUCAAAACCAGAGUAAUUGGCCCAUGACUCCAGCAACUAGAUGCAACUGAAUUAUGUCCUGUGGUGAGCUCUCGAUACCGUGAUGAGUUCCACAGUUAGUCUCUGAAGUCAAAGUUAGCCAUUUUCUCCAGCUGGGAGAAGCACUAGAGCUAAAAUAUUCAUUUUUGCCCAUCAAGAAAGAAACACAGGAUCUCAGAAUCAAAGAAAUAUCAGUUCUUCCAUAACUUUUACUUGCCAUCUGGAUUUUAGAAAUAAAUCAGUUUAUUUCCAGCUAUUAAAUAGAGAUUGGGGAUGGGUACAUGGCACAUGCCUGUAAUCCCUGCAGCUCAGGAGGCUGAAGCAGGAGGAUCGCGAGUUCAAAGCCAGCCUCAACAAGUUAGCAAGGCCCUAAGUGCCCCUGAAUUCACUCCCCAGUACUGAGAGAGAGAGACUGGGGCUGGGGCUCAGUGGUAGAGUGCUUGCCUAGGCACUGGGUUCGAUCCUCAGCACCACAUAAAAAUAAAUAAAUAAGUAAAAUGAAGCGUUGUGUCUUUUUUUUUUUUUUGAGAGAGAAUUUUAAUAUUUAUUUUUUAGUUAUCGGCGGACGCAGCAUCUCUGUUUUGUACGUGGUGUUGAGGAUCGAACUCGGGCCACACACAUGCCAGGCGAGCGCGCUACCGCUUGAGCCACAUCCCCAGCCCGCAUUGUGUGUUUCUACAACUAAAAAUAUAUUUAAAAAAAAAAAGACAGGACUGAGCUGGGUGCAGUGGCGCAUAGAUGGAAUCCUAGCACCCCCAGUGACUGAAGCAAGAGGGUUGCAAGCAAGGCCAGCCUGGGCAACUUGUGAGACUGUCUCAAAAUCAAAAAUAAAAAGAGUUGGUGUGUGGGGCUGGGACUGUGGCUCAGCGGUAGCCCACUUGCCUGGCAUGUGUGAGCCACUGGGUUCAAUUCUCAGCACCAUAUAUAAAUAAAUAAAAUAAAGAUCUAUCAACAACUAAGGGAAAAAAAUUUAAAAAAAUAAAAAUAAAAAGAGUUAAAGAGUUGGUAUGUAGCUCAGUAGUAAAGCUCCCUGCUCAAGCCCCAGUACAAAAAAAAAAAAAAAAAAGGUUAACUGAGAGUAUAAUAAAAAUUGGUGUAGGUCAAUCAUUAACCCAACUUGGAAAGCUAUUCCUAUAUUUAUAGGGUCACUUGUAGCUUACUUCAUUUCCAGUAAAUUAGAAAAUAGGGUGGUAUCCAUGGCUCUGCCUGGGGACACACUAGAAUCUCUUAGUGCUUGGAACUGGAUCAUCACUUUGCUGAGUUUCUUAUUUGCAAAUACACUCCCAAAAUAGUCACCUUUGGUGUGAGCUGUUCUGCUCACACUGUUCACAGCACCAGGUACCCCAGAAAGCCUGGAGAAAGAGCUGUGAAAGGCCCACCUCUGUUCCUGGGGGGGCCACCGUGGGGAAACAGGCCCAGUGCUGGACAUGAGCUUUGAGCGCCCCAUUGGUUGCCUUUUUGCAUGCUCUGCGCAGAGGUUUGAGAAGAUACUACACGUCUUCUCCAAGGAAACUGUCGAUCUUGGCCCCUGGGGGGCAUUGCCAGGGGAGGGCUAUGAGCUGACCACUGGGCUGGCACAGGUUGGAAAGCUCUGGGGAUUUUCCUAUGAGCAUCUUCGCAGAUAUAGAGGCUGGAGGCCAAAAGGUGAUGUGGGGACUGGGUCCCCAGGUGUCCUGUGGCUACAAGUAGAGACAGUUCUGGGGCACUGAAUUCAGGAGUGUAAGACUCCUGGUGUAGCAAGAACAGCCGCCGUGCCUGGGCACAAAUGUCAGAGUGAGCCAGGCAGGGACAAUUCGAGAGCAAAGACCCUGUGCACCAGCCCGGACACAGGUGGGAUCGCUUCGCCUGUGGGGAGUAGAGGCAGAGAUCCUUGGGCCCACACCUCAUGAAGUCAAGUCCAGAUUCAAAAGCAGGUCGGCUCCUCCCCAGGGAUUCUGUGCACACCAUGCAGUGAGCAGCCCAGCCUUUGCCAGGACUCAGAGGCCCUGAAUGCAUUCUUUGUCAUGCUCCCUGCAGCCAGGCAGGGCCAGAGUUCAGGGGUCUGAGAGGAAAAGCUGAAAUGUGAGAAGCUGGGGUUUUGUGCCUAGGUUUAUUUUGGGAUAAUGAAAAAAGCUGUGAAUCCCAAGGGAUGCCAGGUAGAGCCCGGCUGUGUUGGUUUCUGGAAGGAAACCCAGGACAGCUGGGAGGAAGGGCUGUGGGAGCCAGGGUGCAGGGUUUCUGGGCUGGUGGAGGGAAGUGUACCUGAGCAGAGGGAAGAGCCAGAGAAGAGGACGAACUGUUGCCACCACGAGGGUCCAGGGCAGAGCCAAGAUGAAGGUGGAACAGUGGACACACUUGGGGUGGGGUGGAGGGUCUUCUUCCUCCAUUCCUGGCAUCUCCACCCUCCCUGCAGCUCAGGAUCAAAACUCUCAGCUUGGGGUCCUGGCAACUCUGGGGGUUGAGGCAGGUGGAUCUCAAGUUCAAGGCCAGCCUGGAAAACUUAAUGAGACCCUGUCUCAAUGUAAAAUAAAAUAAAAAUGGCAAAAGAAAAAAAAACUCCCAGACUCUCUCAUCUAGCAAGGUCAACCUCCAAAACAAAGAGCUUCUGAGAAUCGGGACACCCUGGUUGUCCCUGCUCCUGCUGGUCGCCCUCAGCCUGUGGUUGGCCUGCGAGCCCAGAGCCAUGCAGGGCGCCUGGGAGCCCAGAUGGCCCCUGCCCUCCACCCCAGCUCUCAGCACCCGCAGUUCUGAGUCCCCCAUGGCACUGGCCGCGUGUCCUCAGACAAGCACGUCCUACUUGUGUGUCUGCUCCCAGGGGCCUGGUCACUCCAGGAGGGCAGAGCUGUGGCCUGUUUUGCUUUUACUGCGGCAGCAUCCUCAGGCCGGAACAGGCUGGUGCUGAGAAGGGCCCAGGGGAGGGGCGGACGGGAUGCCAGGGAGGGGAGCGCCGACUGGGCAGAGGGAGCGCUUCUCCUGCCCGUGUGCGUGUGCGCAGCCCUCGACCGUCUGGUGAGCAGUCUGCUGCUCUCACUUCAUUUAUGCUCACAGAAUCCCACCAGGGAGGUAGAGCAGGCACCAUGAUCUCUAUUCCCAGAUGAGAAGCGAGGUGUAGAUUGGCUACCUGUGAGUUCACAGGCGAGGCCAGCUUUCCUCAUUCUCAAUACAGGGAUCUCUCUGGAGGCCAUGCCCACAGGCCACACUGGCCCACUCUGCUUUGGUAAAUAAAGUGUGAUGGGCACAAAGGCAUCUCCAGCUGUGACCUGUCAUCUGUGGUGGCUGUCAUGCUGCUGUGCUGCAGCUGAGAGGCUGUGCUGGAGACUGUGAGCCUCAGAGCUGAAGUACUCGCUCGCUCUCUCUGCCCUUUGCAGGGGAGUACGCAGACUGUACGGGCGGCAGUAGACCUCCGAGUGCUGCUCAGGUGCUCAGAGGUCCCAGGCGCCCUCUGUCAAGGUUCCUAUCGUGACACCCACCGGGUGCAUUCUCCCCUUCAUACCACGCUAACACAACAAGGGUGCAGAAACAGUGGUGGUUAUGUGGGUUCCUGGGGCUCCCAGCACAGACAAGCAGCAGAGAUGCAUCUUCCUGCAGUUCUGGGGGCCGAAGCCAGUGUCUGCAGAGCCAGCUCCUUGGGGGAUCUGGGGUGCUCUGUGCCUGGGGCUGUCUUCACCUCUCACUGCUUCUUCUCUGUGUCACCUUUUAUUCUGGCCCUUACUUGGACAUUGUCACUAGACUUGGCUGGUUUUGUUGUUGUUUUAGGGUUUUGGGGGGACUGGGGACUGAGCCCUCCUGCACAAGCUCUAAGCCUCUUUAAAAAAACCUUAGAGGCCGGGUCUCAAACUGUCCAGGCUGGCCUCAGACUAGUGGUCCUCCUGCCUCUCCCUCAUGAGUAGCUGGGAUGAUGGUCAUGGCCACCACCACUCCUGGCAGGAGACAGGAUCGUGCUGCAAGCACCGGAGGGUAGGCCCCUGAACUUCCACAGAGGGAGAGGCUCAUGGCCAAGCAGUCAAGGCCAGGAGGGUGUGCGUGGUCUUGACCCAGGCAUGCAGUACUUGGAACACAUCCCCUGCUGUGAAGACAGCCUUCAAACCUCCAGGAGUGUGUGCACUCUAAGGUUGCCUUGCUAAAAGAAGAUGAGGGUCGUUAGACAAUUGGGGAUGCUGCAUAGGCCAGGAGCCAUCAGGGUGAACUGAAGGGAAGGCUGCAUCUACAUGCAUGAGUGCUUGUGGGGAGAACACACAGGUUAUUUAUUUGAGGCAGGAUCUCAAACUCCUGGACUCAAGUAAUUCUCCUGCCUCAGCCUCCUGAGGAGCUGGGACCACGGCCUGUGAAAGUGCAGAUUAUAAAGCUGCAAUUAAAACUAUUUGUGCUAGGGAUGGUGGUGCACACCUGUGAUCCCAGAGACUCAGAGGCUAAAUCAGGAGGACUGCAAGCUGGACCCUGGCUGGGCAACCUAGCAAGACUGUAGAAAGAAAGAAGGAAAGAAAGAAGGAAGGAAGGAAGGAAGGAAAAAAAGAAAAAGUAUUUGUAAAAAAGAAAGCCUGGGCUGAGUGCUGUGGCACACCUGUAAUCCCAACAGCUCAGGAAGCUGAGGCAGGAGGAUCAAAAGUUCAAGGCCAGCCUCAGCAACUUAAUGAGGCCCUAAUCAACUUAGCAAGACCCUGUCUCAAAAAAUAAAAAGGUCUGGGGAUGUGGCUCAGUGGCAAAGUGCCUCAGAGUUCAAUUCCCAGUAGGAAAAGAAAGAAAAAAGAAAGAAAAAAGAAAGUCUGAAAGAAAGACACACAAUGAAACAUUAGUUUCUAUUGUGAUUUUAUUUUAUUUGAUUUUUUAGUAUUAAUGCUGGUAAAGAUGGCGCUUCUCUUCCAGGAGCUGAGGUCCAUGAUGCACUGAAUGGUGCGAACCAUCACCUCCAAUCCCUGUGAAUGGCGCAAACUUUGAAUGGCGCACCUCCAAUCCCUGAAGGGGCUCGAUCUCUCAGCCAAUGAAGAAGUAACAGCCCACUCGCCCUGCUCCUCCUCAUCCUGCGUUGAGCCCAUAAAUAUCAACACCCUGUUCUCUCUUAAUCUCUUGCUCUCCUCCCUCCCCUCCCCCUCCCCCCUUCUCUUUUGUGACUGCCUGCUACACAGGUAAAAGGUUGUUUUGGCUCCUUGAGUUUAUGGAGCUUUUCCACUGUUCCUACAUUAGGGAUUGAACUCAGAGGUGCUUUACCACUGAGCCACAUCCCCAGACCUUUUUAGUUUUAUUUGUUUUAUUCAGAGACAGGGUCUCACUAAGUUGAUGAGGCUGGCCCCGAGCUUGUGAUCUCCUGCCUCAGAGUCACUGGGAUCAUAGAUAUGUGCCACUGUGCCCAGCUUCUUCUGUGAUUUUGAGUGGAUUAAUGUAUUUGUGUACCUUUAGAUUUAUUUGUCAAUAAACACAUAUUGACACUUUACUACUGAGCUGUAUCCCCAGCCCUUUUUAUUUUUUACUUUGCUAAGUUGCCCAGUCUGGGCUGGAACCUGCACCUUCCUGCCUUAGCCUCCGGAUUCUCUGGGAUUGUAGACCCAAUAUAUAUCGACUCUUCCAUAGUGGAGGAAAAGUCAUUUUCAAAAUGGAAGAAAAGAGGGUCGUGGCUCAGCGGUCGUGGCCACAGCACACACACCCCCUCCCCGCUGUCCAGUAUAGCACUCGCC